GUCAAAUCACGAUGAACACAUCGGUUCUCGUUCGAUCACCAAAGUUAAACAUCUUAGAAGCAGAUCAGUACUAAGAUGAGGGACCGCUUGUGAACACCCGGUACUGUAAG
Molecule: ribosomal RNA, 110 nt
Filed under: Acanthosepion pharaonis
Lineage: Eukaryota; Metazoa; Mollusca; Cephalopoda; Sepiida; Sepiidae
Source: RNAcentral